UAAGUUCGUCGACACAAAGACGCCUCUUGACGUCGCCGUGAGAACGCCUGAACUAGGUGGAGAUGCUGUAUUGGUGGUGGAGGACACGGAGAACAGAGUAACGCUGAACCAGCUCCUCAUGUUUGUCACUGGGGCGGAAUGAGUUCCUCCCCUGCGAUUCCCAGGAGAGCAAACAUUAAACUUUUUGCACACUGGCACUGUCUUCCCGGAAGACUCUUCACACCACCUAUGAAUCAUUUAGUGAUUCCAUGAUUUCAGGAAUCAUCCAGUCCCCCUGUUUUGGUUAUGCCUAAUGUAAGCCAACACUUUUUUUUUUGCAUCUUCUUGCUAAUGUUUUGCAUCUUCUUUAAAUAAAGAAUGUUCCAGUGCCACGUUU
This is a long non-coding RNA of Gadus macrocephalus (Pacific cod), 376 nucleotides long. RefSeq lists it as uncharacterized. The record is from RefSeq and is a predicted model, not a curated record. The transcript has 2 exons. Lineage: Eukaryota; Metazoa; Chordata; Actinopteri; Gadiformes; Gadidae.